RNAcentral lists this long non-coding RNA (497 nucleotides) under Neogobius melanostomus (round goby). RNAcentral describes it as "lncRNA (ENSNMLG00000026434.1)". The record is from RNAcentral. Lineage: Eukaryota; Metazoa; Chordata; Actinopteri; Gobiiformes; Gobiidae.
CCCUGGAGACAGCAUCCAGCGUUUGAUUGGCCCGGAACUAUGUAGACGCGGCAAAAACCGGGCAAAACUGUCUAUAUUUGCGCAAAACUGUGCCAUCUCAGUUAUCCAGACCCAAGACGCACACAGACAGGAUUGUUUUUGAUGCUCUUUGCCAUAACAAAAUGAAACACUCAAUGGGACACAGGGUAAGAAAAAAAAGAAAAAGAAAAAAAAGUAUUUUCAAACCAAGAAGUUUGCGUACUAUUCAUGGUGAAAUGCUAUUUUUCUAAAGGGAAAGCUGGUGCCAAUGAUGCCAAGAAGCAGCAGUCCAGUCACUGUAUAUGUGGAGCUGCCAUGCAUCGUUGAACAAGCUUUUCCAACUACUAUUGCUUGGGAUGAUUUUGAAGACUGUUCAUCAGGAGUAACACAUGACACCAGCUCGUUUGGCAAUAGGGCUAAUGAUUGUAAUUCAGAAGACCAUAGCCUUCCGGAUUGUGCGCUGGAUCUUAUAGCAGGUG